Molecule: ribosomal RNA, 904 nt
Filed under: [Sclerotium] perniciosum
Lineage: Eukaryota; Fungi; Ascomycota; Leotiomycetes; Helotiales; Sclerotiniaceae
Description: LSU rRNA
Rfam family: Eukaryotic large subunit ribosomal RNA
Source: RNAcentral
GCAUAUCAAUAAGCGGAGGAAAAGAAACCAACAGGGAUUACCUCAGUAACGGCGAGUGAAGCGGUAAAAGCUCAAAUUUGAAAUCUGGCUCUUUUAGAGUCCGAAUUGUAAUUUGUAGAAGAUGCUUCGGGUGUGGUUCCGGUCUAAGUUCCUUGGAACAGGACGUCAUAGAGGGUGAGAAUCCCGUAUGUGACUGGAUACCUAUGCUCAUGUGAAGCUCUUUCGACGAGUCGAGUUGUUUGGGAAUGCAGCUCAAAAUGGGAGGUAUAUUUCUUCUAAAGCUAAAUAUUGGCCAGAGACCGAUAGCGCACAAGUAGAGUGAUCGAAAGAUGAAAAGCACUUUGGAAAGAGAGUUAAACAGUACGUGAAAUUGUUGAAAGGGAAGCGCUUGCAAUCAGACUUGCACUUGGUGUUCAUCAGGGUCUCGUACCCUGUGUACUUCAUCAAGUUCAGGCCAGCAUCAGUUUGAGUGGUUAGAUAAAGGCUUAGAGAAUGUGGCUCUCUUCGGGGGGUGUUAUAGCUCUAGGUGCAAUGUAGCCUACUUGGACUGAGGACCGCGCUUCGGCUAGGAUGCUGGCGUAAUGGUUGUAAGCGACCCGUCUUGAAACACGGACCAAGGAGUGUACCUAAUAUGCGAGUGUUUGGGUGUUAAACCCAUACGCGUAAUGAAAGUGAACGCUGGUGAGAACCCUUAAGGGUGCAUCAUCGACCGAUCUUGAUGUCUUCGGAUGGAUUUGAGUAAGAGCAUAUUGGGUGCGACCCGAAAGAUGGUGAUCUAUACGUGAAUAGGGUGAAGCCAGAGGAAACUCUGGUGGAGGCUCGCAGCGGUUCUGACGUGCAAAUCGAUCGUCAAAUUUGCGUAUAGGGGCGAAAGACUAAUCGAACCAUCUAGUAGCUGGUUCCU